UGCCGAUCACCCUUGGCGCUCCACCUCCUCAGAUGUCACCUGAUGGGGGGAGCAAAUGCGCAUGCACGGAAAGAGCAGUGAGCGGAUAAGGUCCUCCCCAUAGGAAAACAAUGCACAAUGUUUUUCCUAUGGGGUUUUCUCUGAUGCUGGGUGUCCUCAUGCAGAGCAUUAGGACGUCCAGUGUCAGGUGAUCAAAAGUCGCCUAGCAAGUAGACUGACAGUCACUAGAGGCACUCUUAG
Non-coding RNA from Pelobates cultripes (western spadefoot toad), 240 nucleotides. Lineage: Eukaryota; Metazoa; Chordata; Amphibia; Anura; Pelobatidae. The record is from the annotation of a GenBank genome assembly.